RNAcentral lists this ribosomal RNA (1026 nucleotides) under Escherichia coli. Its description in RNAcentral is "partial 23S ribosomal RNA". It matches the Rfam family "Bacterial large subunit ribosomal RNA", at positions 751 to 1776 of the family's 2925-position model. The record is from RNAcentral. Lineage: Bacteria; Pseudomonadati; Pseudomonadota; Gammaproteobacteria; Enterobacterales; Enterobacteriaceae.
GUUGGGUAACACUAACUGGAGGACCGAACCGACUAAUGUUGAAAAAUUAGCGGAUGACUUGUGGCUGGGGGUGAAAGGCCAAUCAAACCGGGAGAUAGCUGGUUCUCCCCGAAAGCUAUUUAGGUAGCGCCUCGUGAAUUCAUCUCCGGGGGUAGAGCACUGUUUCGGCAAGGGGGUCAUCCCGACUUACCAACCCGAUGCAAACUGCGAAUACCGGAGAAUGUUAUCACGGGAGACACACGGCGGGUGCUAACGUCCGUCGUGAAGAGGGAAACAACCCAGACCGCCAGCUAAGGUCCCAAAGUCAUGGUUAAGUGGGAAACGAUGUGGGAAGGCCCAGACAGCCAGGAUGUUGGCUUAGAAGCAGCCAUCAUUUAAAGAAAGCGUAAUAGCUCACUGGUCGAGUCGGCCUGCGCGGAAGAUGUAACGGGGCUAAACCAUGCACCGAAGCUGCGGCAGCGACACUGUGUGUUGUUGGGUAGGGGAGCGUUCUGUAAGCCUGUGAAGGUGUACUGUGAGGUAUGCUGGAGGUAUCAGAAGUGCGAAUGCUGACAUAAGUAACGAUAAAGCGGGUGAAAAGCCCGCUCGCCGGAAGACCAAGGGUUCCUGUCCAACGUUAAUCGGGGCAGGGUGAGUCGACCCCUAAGGCGAGGCCGAAAGGCGUAGUCGAUGGGAAACAGGUUAAUAUUCCUGUACUUGGUGUUACUGCGAAGGGGGGACGGAGAAGGCUAUGUUGGCCGGGCGACGGUUGUCCCGGUUUAAGCGUGUAGGCUGGUUUUCCAGGCAAAUCCGGAAAAUCAAGGCUGAGGCGUGAUGACGAGGCACUACGGUGCUGAAGCAACAAAUGCCCUGCUUCCAGGAAAAGCCUCUAAGCAUCAGGUAACAUCAAAUCGUACCCCAAACCGACACAGGUGGUCAGGUAGAGAAUACCAAGGCGCUUGAGAGAACUCGGGUGAAGGAACUAGGCAAAAUGGUGCCGUAACUUCGGGAGAAGGCACGCUGAUAUGUAGGUGAAGUCCCUUGCGG